GACGAACGCUGGCGGCGUGCUUAACACAUGCAAGUCGAACGGAAAGGCCCUGCUUUUGUGGGGUGCUCGAGUGGCGAACGGGUGAGUAACACGUGAGUAACCUGCCCUUGACUUUGGGAUAACUUCAGGAAACUGGGGCUAAUCCCGGAUAGGAGCUCCUGCUGCAUGGUGGGGGUUGGAAAGUUUCGGCGGUUGGGGAUGGACUCGCGGCUUAUCAGCUUGUUGGUGGGGUAGUGGCUUACCAAGGCUUUGACGGGUAGCCGGCCUGAGAGGGUGACCGGCCACAUUGGGACUGAGAUACGGCACAGACUCCAACGGGAGGCAGCAGUGGGGAAGAUUACACAAUGGGCGGAAGCCUGAUGCAGCAACGCCGCGUGCGGGAUAACGGCCUUCGGGUUGUAAACCGCUUUCGCCUGUGACGAAGCGAGAGUGACGGUAAUGGGUAAAGAAGCACCGGCUAACUACGUG
This 468-nucleotide ribosomal RNA is filed under the name uncultured bacterium. RNAcentral's name for it is "partial 16S ribosomal RNA". It matches the Rfam family "Bacterial small subunit ribosomal RNA", at positions 28 to 507 of the family's 1533-position model. The record is from RNAcentral.